Non-coding RNA from Ictidomys tridecemlineatus (thirteen-lined ground squirrel), 2265 nucleotides. The record is from RefSeq and is a predicted model, not a curated record. NCBI's taxonomy places the organism in Eukaryota, Metazoa, Chordata, Mammalia, Rodentia, Sciuridae.
CUGCACGGCUUGUGAGGGUGUGCCACAGCGUGGUCCUGGGCACUCAGAGAUGUCCCCUGCACUGACCUGGGGGCCUGGCUGCUGGGCAGGCCGGGGCACGGUCAGCUCCUGCCUCUGGGAGGGUCUCACCAUCUCCAGCUCCAGUGACCUCCCGGGGUCUGGGAAUUGGGGCCAGCACUUCUAGACCUUUCCUUUGCACACCAUCCUUUGGGCCACCAGCCCCUCAGGCUCCUUCUGUCACACACUGUCACAGGUGUGGAGAGUGCUGCUCCAUCCCAGGGCUGAAGGCAGGAGCGUGUGCAGGCCGUCAGGGGACGAGGUCGUGUUUCUGUCUGACAGACCUAGGUGCCCACAGACGGACGUGCCCGGCUGACAGACCUAGGUGCCCACAGACGGACGUGCCCGGCUGACAGACGUACGUACUUAGCUGACAGACAUAUGUGCCUGGCUGACGGACCUACGUGUCUAGCUGACGGAUGUUCCUGCCCAGCUGACAGACGUACCUGCCCAGCUGACAGAUGGACGUGCCCAGCUGAUAGACGGACGUGCCCGGCUGACGGAUGUACCUGCCCAGCUGACAGAUGGACGUGCCCGGCUGACUAAGUUCCUGGCUGAUGGGUGUGCGUGCCCAGCUGACAGACGUGUGCGCCUGGCCGACGUACAUGCCUGCCUGGCUGACCUGUGUUGGUGCUUGGGUGCUUCCGUCUCAAGGAGUGCCUGCAGCCUCGUGUGCCGGUCCCCUUUUGCAGCAGUGGUGACGUCCACUAACACCUGCUCUGUGCACCUCCUGAGAGUCCACACCAAACCAGCAGAGGCCGUGGCCCUGCUCUUGCUGGCCACCCGAGUCCAGCAGCCCUCAGAAGUGCCUGUGCCCCUGCUGCCCUGCGUGGGGACUGUCGGUCUCUCCUGCCUUGAGGGCGGGUGGACGUGGUGUGUCUCAGGUCACUGUCCUCCUCAGUCUUGCCCUUGAGAGCUUUUCAAAACGCAGGCGUAGGGUUCUGCUGCCAGUUCCUCUGCCGUUUCUGGUUUUGCCAGGUUUUGAGAGUGAGUGUGGCCUCAUUUCAGAAGGCCCUUAGCCGUGUGUUGGGGUGACUCCUGUGGCAGCCCCCUGACGAGAACCCUCCCCAACCAUUUUCCUGAGAAGGUGAGCCAGGGUCUAAGCCAACACGGAGCGCCCUGGCUCCACGUCCGUCCUUCUGAAGGGCAGCAGCUGGCGGGGGCCAGGCAGGCGUCUGUCCCGGAGGCACCGUGAGGACGGGUCUUUCGCAGGUCGCACUCGCCUCCUGUGCCUGGGGGUCCUGGGUAGAAGGCGGCCAGCUCCCCAGCCUCUGCCACGGAGGAGGCCCUGGAGUGGGCGGGACCGGGCGGGAGCUGCUGUCCUGUGGUCUCUACACUGUGGAGGCCGCUGUUGGGGGUGACUGGCCACUGGCUGUGGGUCUACAGAGGCGUCCGGCGACCCGCGGGGUCUCCCUGCUGAUGUCCUGUGCAGCGGCGGAGGCCUGUGCACAGCUGGCCCUGCCGUCCUUGCUGCCCUUGCUGACCUCUGAUCCAUGUGGGCUCUCUCUUUUAACCUUUUCUUCCUUUGAGUUCCGAAAGGAGUAACCUACCGGCCUUUUGCUGGAGGAUGUUAUAAAUGGAAAUUCUGUCAUUCCGGCAGCUUUGUGGACUGGAGGAGUGGUGUGUGUGUCACUCGGCCGUGGAGGGAAGCCCAGGUCUCAGCCAGCGCCUGGGGUGCAGGGCAGCGUCCAGGGCCUUCCCGGGUCCUCAGUGCCAGGAGCAGGAGCACCCCCCCCCCGGGCUCACAGGGUGUGACCUCCCAAGUCCACCUGGGCACUGCUCAAGUUCCAGGAGCACCUGGGAUUGAGCGGGUCCCAGGCCCCCAGGGCGAGUGGGGGCUUCGCACAGGGUCCUGUGGCGCUGGCCAGAGCCGCUGUGCCUCUGUCCACCUGCACAGGAGAGCGAGUGCUCCUUUCCCCUUAAAAUCAGAGCCAUGGUCCUCUUGCCUUAGAGUUCCAGAGUUCUAAAGUCUGUGACGUGGCUCUGAAGGGUGGACGAGUAGAUCAUUCUGCAGGCCCACCAGAGAGUUGUGUUUAAAAUAUAGAACGGCCAGACGUAGUUAUGAGGCCUGUUCACAGCAGUCUUGUACUUUGUGCUUGUAUUUUUUUAUAUCAUGGAACGUAUUAAGAGUUCUGAGGUAAAGAUCCCUGCCUAUAAUGAAAAAUUUCAAAUGAAUACCAGAAAUAAAGUCGUAUCCUUCAAAAAUAA